GCCCCAGGCCUAUCCUAAUCCCGAGCGGAGCUACCUGUAGCCCGUGUAGAGCGCGGAAAGGUGUCGGUCUUGCGAGCGCAAGGCUUAAGGGACGUGCCAGAACCCUGCAGAAAUGCAGGCCAGCUACUCGAGCGCCCGCCGCGCGAAAGGUAGUUGGGCGCUAUAGCGUGCUAUAGCGUCGUAUAGUGGGUAACUAAAACGGCCAGCAGCCGCGGUAAUUCCAGCUCCAAUAGCGUAUAUUAAAGUUGUUGCAGUUAAAAAGCUCGUAGUUGAACCUUGGGCCUGGCUGGCCGGUCCGCCUCACCGCGUGCACUGGUUCGGCCGGGCCUUUCCCUCUGGGGAACCCCAUGCCCUUCACUGGGUGUGGCGGGGAACCAGGACUUUUACUGUGAAAAAAUUAGAGUGUUCAAAGCAGGCCUAUGCUCGAAUACAUCAGCAUGGAAUAAUAGAAUAGGACGUGCGGUUCUAUUUUGUUGGUUUCUAGGACCGCCGUAAUGAUUAAUAGGGACAGUCGGGGGCAUCAGUAUUCAAUUGUCAGAGGUGAAAUUCUUGGAUUUAUUGAAGACUAACUACUGCGAAAGCAUUUGCCAAGGAUGUUUUCAUUAAUCAGGAACGAAAGUUAGGGGAUCGAAGACGAUUUAAUCACUGUAUUUGGUCGUCCAAAGUGCAAGCUAGUCCGCCGCGGGGCAACCCGCGGGGGGCGACACCGUCAAAUUGCGGGGACCUCCUUAGAGCCCUCACCACACCUCGCGGCUAGAAAUAGCGGCGAGUCGUAAUAGUGUGAGGGAUUGGACAAUCCGCAGCCAAGUCCGUACGGCGCCUCGGGGCGCCAGGAUGCAGUUCACAGACUAAAUGUCGGUGGGAGCGCUCCGCUGUAGCGCCCUUAAAAUAUAGUCGAGCCGCCGCUGAAAAGCCGCGGGGUACCUGCAGAUA
RNAcentral lists this ribosomal RNA (933 nucleotides) under Nodulisporium sp. HQD33. RNAcentral describes it as "bacterial SSU rRNA". The stretch from base 1 to 679 matches the Rfam family "Eukaryotic small subunit ribosomal RNA", at positions 57 to 1116 of the family's 1831-position model. The record is from RNAcentral. Lineage: Eukaryota; Fungi; Ascomycota; Sordariomycetes; Xylariales; Xylariaceae.